CCUACGGGCGGCUGCAGUGGGGAAUAUUGGACAAUGGGCGAAAGCCUGAUCCAGCCAUGCCGCGUGUGUGAAGAAGGCCUUCGGGUUGUAAAGCACUUUCAGUGGGGAAGAAAGCCUUGGGGCUAAUACCCUCGAGGAAGGACAUCACCCACAGAAGAAGCACCGGCUAACUCCGUGCCAGCAGCCGCGGUAAUACGGAGGGUGCGAGCGUUAAUCGGAAUUACUGGGCGUAAAGCGCGCGUAGGCGGUCUGAUAAGCCGGUUGUGAAAGCCCCGGGCUCAACCUGGGAACGGCAUCCGGAACUGGCAGGCUAGAGUGCAGGAGAGGAAGGUAGAAUUCCCGGUGUAGCGGUGAAAUGCGUAGAGAUCGGGAGGAAUACCAGUGGCGAAGGCGGCCUUCUGGACUGACACUGACGCUGAGGUGCGAAAGCGUGGGUAGCAAACAGGAUUAGAUACCCGAGUAGUC
This 465-nucleotide ribosomal RNA is filed under the name Vreelandella stevensii. Its description in RNAcentral is "partial 16S ribosomal RNA". It matches the Rfam family "Bacterial small subunit ribosomal RNA", at positions 338 to 795 of the family's 1533-position model. Lineage: Bacteria; Pseudomonadati; Pseudomonadota; Gammaproteobacteria; Oceanospirillales; Halomonadaceae. The record is from RNAcentral.